GAUGAACGCUGGCGGCGUGUUUAACACAUGCAAGUCGAGCGAAGCGCUUUGGUUAGAUUCUUCGGAUGAAGACCUUUGUGACUGAGCGGCGGACGGGUGAGUAACGUGUGGGUAACCUGCCUCAUACAGGGGGAUAACAGUUAGAAAUGGCUGCUAAUACCGACAUAAGCGCACGGUACUGCAUGGUACAGUGUGAAAAACUCCGGUGGUAUGAGAUGGACCCGCGUUGGAUUAGCUAGUUGGCAGGGUAAC
RNAcentral lists this ribosomal RNA (252 nucleotides) under uncultured bacterium. RNAcentral describes it as "partial 16S ribosomal RNA". It matches the Rfam family "Bacterial small subunit ribosomal RNA", at positions 28 to 261 of the family's 1533-position model. The record is from RNAcentral.